RNAcentral lists this unclassified non-coding RNA (85 nucleotides) under Epilithonimonas lactis. Its description in RNAcentral is "Chryseobacterium halperniae Flavo-1 RNA". Lineage: Bacteria; Pseudomonadati; Bacteroidota; Flavobacteriia; Flavobacteriales; Weeksellaceae. The record is from RNAcentral.
AGCGCGCCCCGACCUGAGUGGAGCUCUUUUUUUGUGGCAGGAAAAGCGAGGGCAAAAAAAGCGGGAACGGAGGGCGGAUGAAGGC